UUUCUGAAAAUAUAUAAUUAGGGCAUCAUUAUGUCUUAUUGCCCCGGGCAACAUAUUUCUUUGGACCGGCCCUGGGUCCUUGCAUUGCAAUUGCCUAUUUAUCGGUUCUAAAGGACUGUGAGAUUCAUUGCUUUCAUGAAGGAUUGGAAGUCAAACGACUUGGUGGUCUCCAUGUCAUUGGGACAUCUUUGCAUGAGUCCCGAAGAAUUGAUAAUCAGCUUCGUGGCAGAGCAGGAAGGCAAGGAGAUCCUGGAUCAACACGCUUCAUGGUCAGGUAAGUUCAUUUAAAUGAUUUUUAUAAAGUUUAAAGUCAAUCCUUUCAUCUGGACAAAAUUCUUCAUGUUAAAUUACGUAAUAGUCCUUGGAGUAGUUGACAUGAACAAUUUUUUUUGUUAGAAUGAUUCCAUAUAUAUGUGCAAGCAAGCACAUGCCUUGUGAAAAAGGGAAAUCUAUUCUAGUCAUUCUCUUUAACAAGGCAACCUUAAAGUUGAUUUUUUAAACCUGAUGUUUAAAACUACAUUGAGUGUGAGAUAGAAGUUUAUGCAGAGAAGGAAAAAGAUAGAAGUUUUUGAGGAUGUUGCUGAUGAAAAAGAUAGAGGUUCUUUAGGAUGCUGCUAAUGAAGUUUAUGCAGAGAAGGAAAAAGAUAGAAGUUUGUUGGCACAUAGUAAGCUAGAUAAUUAAUGCAAUUGUAUAUAAAUGAGUUCAUUUUUUUAUAACAUUUACUCACUAUUGGAAUAAUUAUUUGUAUUUGACAUAUUAGUGAAAUGAAUUAUAUUUGUUAUUUAUGGUA
Lactuca sativa (garden lettuce) is the source of this 791-nucleotide long non-coding RNA. RefSeq lists it as uncharacterized. Lineage: Eukaryota; Viridiplantae; Streptophyta; Magnoliopsida; Asterales; Asteraceae. The record is from RefSeq and is a predicted model, not a curated record.